UACAGAGGGGGCAAGCGUUGUUCGGAAUUACUGGGCGUAAAGGGCGCGUAGGCGGCCUGUUAAGUCGAACGUGAAAUCCCCGGGCUCAACCCGGGAACUGCGUCCGAUACUGGCAGGCUUGAAUCCGGGAGAGGGAUGCGGAAUUCCAGGUGUAGCGGUGAAAUGCGUAGAUAUCUGGAGGAACACCGGUGGCGAAGGCGGCAUCCUGGACCGGCAUUGACGCUGAGGCGCGAAAGCAUGGGGAGCAAACAGG
RNAcentral lists this ribosomal RNA (253 nucleotides) under uncultured bacterium. RNAcentral's name for it is "partial 16S ribosomal RNA". It matches the Rfam family "Bacterial small subunit ribosomal RNA", at positions 524 to 776 of the family's 1533-position model. The record is from RNAcentral.